RNAcentral lists this long non-coding RNA (813 nucleotides) under Trifolium pratense (red clover). RNAcentral describes it as "long non-coding RNA (TPRA_LNC005524)". Lineage: Eukaryota; Viridiplantae; Streptophyta; Magnoliopsida; Fabales; Fabaceae. The record is from RNAcentral.
CUCUGUUCUCGUGUUUCAGCUGACCAAUUUUUUUUUUAAUUAAAUUGGACCUUUUACAUCUGACCAAGUCACCAGAUGUGAAAUAGUAACUUUAUUUAAUUUUUUUUUUUUUUCAAAAUCCUGCAUUUUUUUUUUAUAUUUUAAAUCUUAUUUUGUAAUUAAAAAAAACCAAAAUAGCAUUACAAUUCAACAUUCAACCAAAAUACCCUUACAUAAUAUAAUCAAAUGUCAUUAAAAUUCAACAUUCAUCCAAAAUACCAAAUGUCAUACAAUUCAACAUUCAAGCAAAAUAUCAAAUGUCAUUACAAUUCAAAACAUCAUAAUUAAUAUGAAUCCAUUGUAACAUCACACAAAUUAACCUAGCUAGCUCCUAAGCCUCAUCGGCAACAUCAUAAUCUACCUAAGGAUUAUAUAGGUCAAGAAAACAAGUUGCCCAACUGUUUCACAAUUCAUACAGCUCCUCCUCUGUUAAUGACGUCGGAUCAUCGAACACCUACAAUAUGUAAAUAUAUAUUUACUUAUAUAUACAUGACUAAAAUUCAUUACGUAUACAUGAUCAACUAAUUCGUAUAUAUAAAUUAACAUACAUUCAGGUAGUAUCAUACCACAUAAUCUAAAAUCGAACAAAAUGCAACACAAAGUGAGCUAAAGGCUGCUGCCUCGAGCGCCCCACGAAGGGUGUGGCGCGCCCGCACAAUUGGCAGCAUGCAACCUGCAUAAUUCUGCAGAAAAGAAACAAAGAAAAUAGUUCCCUUUAUGCAAAAAAAUGCAGCAAACCAGCCCUUCUUUUUAUGCAGAAAAUUAUAGCAAAAC